AGAUUGAACGCUGGCGGCAGGCCUAACACAUGCAAGUCGAGCGGCAGCACGGGUACUUGUACCUGGUGGCGAGCGGCGGACGGGUGAGUAAUGCCUAGGAAUCUGCCUGAUAGUGGGGGAUAACGCUCGGAAACGGACGCUAAUACCGCAUACGUCCUACGGGAGAAAGCAGGGGACCUUCGGGCCUUGCGCUAUCAGAUGAGCCUAGGUCGGAUUAGCUAGGUUGGUGGGUAAUGGCUCACCAAGGCGACGAUCCGUAACUGGUCUGAGAGGAUGAUCAGUCACACUGGAACUGAGACACGGUCCAGACCU
This 312-nucleotide ribosomal RNA is filed under the name uncultured soil bacterium. RNAcentral's name for it is "bacterial SSU rRNA". It matches the Rfam family "Bacterial small subunit ribosomal RNA", at positions 26 to 338 of the family's 1533-position model. The record is from RNAcentral.